RNAcentral lists this transfer RNA (84 nucleotides) under Acidimicrobiaceae bacterium. RNAcentral's name for it is "tRNA-Leu". It matches the Rfam family "tRNA". From Rfam's summary of the family: Transfer RNA (tRNA) molecules are approximately 80 nucleotides in length. Their secondary structure includes four short double-helical elements and three loops (D, anti-codon, and T loops). The record is from RNAcentral. Lineage: Bacteria; Bacillati; Actinomycetota; Acidimicrobiia; Acidimicrobiales; Acidimicrobiaceae.
GCCCGGGUGGCGGAACUGGCAUACGCGAUGGUCUCAAACACCAUUGCCCUUCGGGGCUUGCGGGUUCGAAUCCCGCCCCGGGCA